Long non-coding RNA from Solea senegalensis (Senegalese sole), 637 nucleotides. RefSeq lists it as uncharacterized. NCBI's taxonomy places the organism in Eukaryota, Metazoa, Chordata, Actinopteri, Pleuronectiformes, Soleidae. The transcript is spliced from 3 exons. The record is from RefSeq and is a predicted model, not a curated record.
CUGCACAACAUCUGUGCACAGUCAUUGUUGGUUUGAUGUGUUACUAUGACACAGCAAACGCUCAGUGACGUGUUUACUAGUGUUUGGUACAAAUACUGAUACUCACAUAAUGGUGGAAUAUACAAACGCUUCAGGGAACUAUGAGCUCCUCACCAAGGACAGUGAGAGCCUUCAUAGGAGAUCAUUUCUAAAACUAGUUCAUGAAGCGGCUCUAACCAGGUUUCAGCAGCACUAGUUUAUUUAUUAACAACACUCUAACCAGGUUUCAGCAGUACUAGUUUAUUUACUAACAACGCUCUAACCAGGUUUCAGCAGUACUAGUUAAUUUAUGAACAAAGCUCUAACCAGGUUACAGCAGCACUAGUUUAUUUAUUAACAAAGCUCUAACCAGGUUACAGCAGCACUAGUUAAUUUAUUAAAAAGCUCUAGCCAGGUUUCAGCAGUACUAGUUUAUUUAUUAACAAAGCUCUAACCAGGUUUCAGCAGCACUAGUUAAUUUAUUAACAAAGCUCUAACCAGGUUACAGCAGCACUAGUUAAUUUUUAAAAAGCUCUAACCAGGUUUCAGCAGCACUAGUUAAUUUAUUAAAAAGCUCUAACUAGGUAACAGCAGCACUAGUUUAUUUAAUAAUGAAGCU